Molecule: ribosomal RNA, 659 nt
Filed under: uncultured Bacteroidota bacterium
Lineage: Bacteria; Pseudomonadati; Bacteroidota
Description: bacterial SSU rRNA
Rfam family: Bacterial small subunit ribosomal RNA
Source: RNAcentral
GAGGUGAAAUCUUGCAGCUCAACUGUAAAAUUGCCUUUGAAACUGGUUAUCUUGAGUUAUUAUGAAGUAGUUAGAAUAUGUAGUGUAGCGGUGAAAUGCAUAGAUAUAACAUAGAAUACCAAUUGCGAAGGCAGAUUACUAAUAAUCAACUGACACUGAUGGACGAAAGCGUGGGUAGCGAACAGGAUUAGAUACCCUGGUAGUCCACGCCGUAAACGAUGGUUACUAGCUGUUUGGACUUCGGUCUGAGUGGCUAAGCGAAAGUGAUAAGUAACCCACCUGGGGAGUACGUUCGCAAGAAUGAAACUCAAAGGAAUUGACGGGGGCCCGCACAAGCGGUGGAGCAUGUGGUUUAAUUCGAUGAUACGCGAGGAACCUUACCAGGGCUUAAAUGUAAGUUGCAUUAGUUAGAGAUAGCUAUUUCUUCGGACCACUUACAAGGUGCUGCAUGGUUGUCGUCAGCUCGUGCCGUGAGGUGUCAGGUUAAGUCCUAUAACGAGCGCAACCCCUGUUGUUAGUUGCCAGCGAGUCAUGUCGGGAACUCUAACAAGACUGCCAGUGCAAACUGUGAGGAAGGUGGGGAUGACGUCAAAUCAUCACGGCCCUUACGUCCUGGGCUACACACGUGCUACAAUGGUAGGUACAGAGAGCAGCCACUG